UGCCAGCAGCCGCGGUAAAACCAGCACCUCAAGUGGUCAGGAUGAUUAUUGGGCCUAAAGCAUCCGUAGCCGGCUCUGUAAGUUUUCGGUUAAAUCUGUACGCUCAACGUACAGGCUGCCGGGAAUACUGCAGAGCUAGGGAGUGGGAGAGGUAGACGGUACUCGGUAGGAAGGGGUAAAAUCCUUUGAUCUAUUGAUGACCACCUGUGGCGAAGGCGGUCUACCAGAACACGUCUGACGCUGAGGGACGAAAGCGUGGGGAGCGAACAGGAUUAGAUA
Molecule: ribosomal RNA, 279 nt
Filed under: uncultured bacterium
Lineage: Bacteria
Description: partial 16S ribosomal RNA
Rfam family: Archaeal small subunit ribosomal RNA
Source: RNAcentral